Molecule: ribosomal RNA, 1443 nt
Filed under: uncultured organism
Description: SSU rRNA
Rfam family: Bacterial small subunit ribosomal RNA
Source: RNAcentral
GCGACAGGCUUAACACAUGCAAGUUGAGGGGCAGCACAGGUAGCAAUACCGGGUGGCGACCGGCGCACGGGUGAGUAACGCGUAUGCAACUUGCCUAUCAGAGGGGGAUAACCCGGCGAAAGUCGGACUAAUACCGCAUGAAGCAGGGGCCCCGCAUGGGGAUAUUUGCUAAAGAUUCAUCGCUGAUAGAUAGGCAUGCGUUCCAUUAGGCAGUUGGCGGGGUAACGGCCCACCAAACCGACGAUGGAUAGGGGUUCUGAGAGGAAGGUCCCCCACAUUGGUACUGAGACACGGACCAAACUCCUACGGGAGGCAGCAGUGAGGAAUAUUGGUCAAUGGGCGCGAGCCUGAACCAGCCAAGUCGCGUGAGGGAUGAAGGUUCUAUGGAUCGUAAACCUCUUUUAUAAGGGAAUAAAGUGCGGGACGUGUCCCGUUUUGUAUGUACCUUAUGAAUAAGGAUCGGCUAACUCCGUGCCAGCAGCCGCGGUAAUACGGAGGAUCCGAGCGUUAUCCGGAUUUAUUGGGUUUAAAGGGUGCGUAGGCGGCCUUUUAAGUCAGCGGUGAAAGUCUGUGGCUCAACCAUAGAAUUGCCGUUGAAACUGGGAGGCUUGAGUAUGUUUGAGGCAGGCGGAAUGCGUGGUGUAGCGGUGAAAUGCAUAGAUAUCACGCAGAACCCCGAUUGCGAAGGCAGCCUGCCAAGCCAUUACUGACGCUGAUGCACGAAAGCGUGGGGAUCAAACAGGAUUAGAUACCCUGGUAGUCCACGCAGUAAACGAUGAUCACUAGCUGUUUGCGAUACAUUGUAAGCGGCACAGCGAAAGCGUUAAGUGAUCCACCUGGGGAGUACGCCGGCAACGGUGAAACUCAAAGGAAUUGACGGGGGCCCGCACAAGCGGAGGAACAUGUGGUUUAAUUCGAUGAUACGCGAGGAACCUUACCCGGGUUUGAACGCAUUCGGACCGAGGUGGAAACACCUUUUCUAGCAAUAGCCGUUUGCGAGGUGCUGCAUGGUUGUCGUCAGCUCGUGCCGUGAGGUGUCGGCUUAAGUGCCAUAACGAGCGCAACCCUUGCCACUAGUUACUAACAGGUAAAGCUGAGGACUCUGGUGGGACUGCCAGCGUAAGCUGCGAGGAAGGCGGGGAUGACGUCAAAUCAGCACGGCCCUUACAUCCGGGGCGACACACGUGUUACAAUGGCGUGGACAAAGGGAAGCCACCUGGCGACAGGGAGCGAAUCCCCAAACCACGUCUCAGUUCGGAUCGGAGUCUGCAACCCGACUCCGUGAAGCUGGAUUCGCUAGUAAUCGCGCAUCAGCCAUGGCGCGGUGAAUACGUUCCCGGGCCUUGUACACACCGCCCGUCAAGCCAUGGGAGCCGGGGGUACCUGAAGUCCGUAACCGCGAGGAUCGGCCUAGGGUAAAACUGGUGACUGGGGCUAAGUCAU